RNAcentral lists this unclassified non-coding RNA (988 nucleotides) under Hevea brasiliensis (rubber tree). The record is from RNAcentral. Lineage: Eukaryota; Viridiplantae; Streptophyta; Magnoliopsida; Malpighiales; Euphorbiaceae.
UAAAAAAAAAAAAAAAAAAUAAAAAGGAAAAAAAAUGCAUAUUGAAACUGAAAGUGUCUCAGUUUGAAGCAGUUUUCAUCACAAAGUAAAAAGGAAAAAAAAUGUAUACAGGUACUUUCCUAGUGAAUAACACUGCAAUAGAGUAUAUUUUCGCUUGUCAAGUCCCCUAGAAAUGGAUUAAAGUCUGAAAUUAAAUGGUAAUUAUGGCCAAAGAAUUGGAUACAUGCAUCAAAAAUUAAAUAAGGCUCCACUGACACAAUCUUGCCACUCAUCCCCACCCCCUUCUCUCUUUUUCUCAGUGAAAUACAAAAGAAAAUUGAAAAUAAAUCGAUGAUUUGCAACAGAAACCAUUGCAUCGCUGCAACUAGGAGAAACCCCACAUCCCAUAAACAUAUACAGAUUCCAUUUAAUGGCAAGACAGGGUAACAUGAGCCAUUUAAUGAAGUAUGAUUACCAACAUUUGUAUUCAAUGAUCAACAAUCAUACAAAGCUUGAAUGUACUUAUGGAAAAUUCAGAAAAUAAGCAUGAUAAAUCAUGUCAAUAGAUGGCAUUGCAUUACAAUACUUCAUCCUGUUGAGGAUAUAAUAAACCAUUCUCGUUCCCAAGAGGCAAUGAAGGUGGAGUUCCAGGUGGGAUAGAAGCAGCACCAUUCUCACCAGCACAUAUGCACAAAGCCUCUGCAUCCCUGAGGAUUGCAUCAAGGUCAAUAUGGCCACUCAGCUCAUUGAUGAACUUCAAGAGCGUGUCAAAGUCCAUCUGCUCUCCCAUUAUCUUGUUGCGAUAUCGCUUCAAGAUUGCAACACAUGCAUACAGAUGCAGGUGUUCAGACAAAUAGUGUGUCCACAAUACCUCCCACAGACGCAUAGUUUUCUCAUAUUCAAAUUCUCUUUUAAAUUGUAUUAGAAUCCAGCGGAAACAAAAGAAGUAAUUCAAGCAAUCAUUCUGCUUGAAAUAGUUAUGCAAUGGACUGUCUAGUAACUCUACCAG